This 1146-nucleotide long non-coding RNA is filed under the name Heterocephalus glaber (naked mole-rat). Its description in RNAcentral is "lncRNA (ENSHGLG00000048470.1)". The record is from RNAcentral. Lineage: Eukaryota; Metazoa; Chordata; Mammalia; Rodentia; Bathyergidae.
GUAUAAAAGAACACCUUGUAGUUUCACACUGCGAAGUAAAACAUGGAGCAAAAGUGAGUGUACUCUGCCCACCUCGAGGUGCCUGGCUUGCAUUUUUCUGUUGUUUUCUUUGGCCGCUCUCCUGUUUCCCACACAGAUACGGACUUAGCCCUUGCACCCGGGGACCAGAUAGAGGGUGUAGCUGUGUGUUUCCCAGGGUAGGAAAAUUUUCCUGGAUCAAGGAUUUUAAGAGCUUAAUACUACUCCGUGAAGUCCUGCUUUUUUGUACACUGUAAGGAUGGAAUCCUGACUGGCAUCCCUCAUAAACUGUUCUGCUAAUGCUUCUGGGGAUAAACUUGAGCGGUGCAGCUGAUGCUGCCAAGGCUCUGGGUGCAUUUUGUCAGCUGAUUCCGGACGUGUUUACCGCCUCCUUCCUGAGGAGACUUGCUCAACUCUCGGCUCCCACGAAGAGCCUGGCAGUGGGACUUGUCCCUGCCCUGCCACAUGGAAGGACGGGGUCAUUCUGGGGGCCUCGUUCCCAUGCCUGCUCCUCGCUCCAUCUUUCCCCUCUUCUCUCUUCCUGUUUCUGCUUCUUUGGCUCUGCUUUCUCUUGGUUUUGGUGGAGAGUUGAGCUCAUUUCACACAUGUGAUCACUUGAUGUAGUGCAUUCCUAACUUUUCAGGUCUGGGGUGUUAACGACAGCAGGCUCUGUUCUGGCCUUUAGCAGGUAUUUUCUCACCAUUUGAAUUCUUCUGGCGUGUACUUCAAUGCGUUCUUCUAAAGUAUCUUCACUUGCCUUUCUCGCCUUCAAAGGAGCUGGUGCUCAGAGUGAGAAAUAGGAGCAGCACCUUGGUGUGUGAAGUGAAUGUGGCUUAAGGCAGCUGGCUCCCUGUGCCCCUCUCUUCACCUUCGGGGAGGAAACGUCAUCACCACAGAGCAUGAAUUUGCCCGUGGAGUCUUUCUUCCCUGCUCAUACCCAUGGCUGUGAGGGACCCCAGCUGACCACAGACCUCAUGCCUUUGGCCUGGGGGCAGACAGAAGGAAUGCAAGUGUUUUGCUCCGGCUGUUGACCCUUCUGUGGUCCGGAGGUCAGUUGCCUCUGAUGGGAAACCUAACACUCUGGCUACAUAGUGGGUGAGGUCUGGGCUGAGGGAAGUUUUCUUGGGG